RNAcentral lists this ribosomal RNA (301 nucleotides) under uncultured bacterium. RNAcentral's name for it is "partial 16S ribosomal RNA". It matches the Rfam family "Bacterial small subunit ribosomal RNA", at positions 509 to 807 of the family's 1533-position model. The record is from RNAcentral.
CAGCAGCCACGGGAAUACGUAGGGUGCGAGCGUUAAUCGGAAUUACUGGGCGUAAAGCGUGCGCAGCCGGUUAUGUAAGACAGUUGUGAAAUCCCCGGGCUCAACCUGGGAAUUGCAUCUGUGACUGCAUAGCUAGAGUACGGUAGAGGGGGAUGGAAUUCCGCGUGUAGCAGUGAGAUGCGUAGAUAUGCGGAGGAACACCGAUGGCGAAGGCAAUCCCCUGGACCCGUACUGGCGCUCAUGCACGAAAGCGUGGGGAGCAAACAGGAUUAGAUACCCCGGUAGUCCCUGUCUCUUAUAC